CCCGCACACUGUUAAAGCUUGAUGCUGAGGCCGGUCCCUGGCCGAUGAGCUCUCAAGUGUCGGAAGUGUGCUACAGCAAGCCACGCGGCAGGGUGUUCGCUGGCACCAGGAGAGGAGCUCCCUCCAUGAUUGGUGUUUGAUAGUAGUCCCUGCCACAGGC
Molecule: small nucleolar RNA, 160 nt
Filed under: Tinamus guttatus (white-throated tinamou)
Lineage: Eukaryota; Metazoa; Chordata; Aves; Tinamiformes; Tinamidae
Source: RNAcentral